GGGGCUGUGGCCUAGCCCGGCAUGGCGAUGGGCUCCAGCGGAUAAAUGAUGAACAACGGGUAUACUGAAUCUUUCCCGACGGGGCAAGAUAAUGAGGAACCGUUGGAGCACUGAUAGAUGCUCACCAGAAAACUGUAUAAGCAGUUGUUCGGAGAUACCCGUCGAUCGUGAGUUCGAAUCUCACCAGCCCCA
This 192-nucleotide transfer RNA is filed under the name Methanosarcina barkeri str. Fusaro. RNAcentral describes it as "tRNA-Trp". The stretch from base 42 to 116 matches the Rfam family "Small nucleolar RNA sR3". The record is from RNAcentral. Lineage: Archaea; Methanobacteriati; Methanobacteriota; Methanomicrobia; Methanosarcinales; Methanosarcinaceae.